GGUCGAGGGGCGGAGCCUCGAUGAGCUUUGAGGAUUUUACUGUUUUGUUUUGUGCUGUGCUGUAAUGUAGACAGAUUUUAUAAAAAUCAUCCCAUGGUCGGAAGCUGUUCCGGCUCUCUCAGCACAGUGACUAGUCUGAGCAAGCUGCGAAACAAAGCAGACGGCGUCCGUCUUUCAGAGAAUUAUCAUUAACGACUCUGGUGUGAAAUUUGCUACAGCGUAACUGAAAUCAUGCACCAGUGUAGAAGCCACAGAUACCAGGAAGAUGCUCACAGAUGACACUGUUCCAGGAGCGGAGCACCUCAGUGCUCUCCGCCAACACCCACUCACCAAAAGCCAGAAGGAGCCUGCACUUAAUGGGCUCUAUUAAUUCAGGGAAAGUGAUGCUUGAUGUCCGGCUUGUUGAUCCAGGUCUGGAUGUUGACAACCUCUUUCCUAUCAUCAUCUGACAUGGACGAGCUGUCGAUUUCAUCUGGGAGGGAAGAGAAGGGUUAAGGCCAUCAGCACCUUCUUAGCAUGUGACACUUCUUAGCAUGUGACACUUCUUAGCAUGUGGACACUUCUUAGCAUGUGAACACUUCUUAGCAUGUGAACACUUCUUAGCAUGUGGACACUUCUUAGCAUGUGAACACUUCUUACCAUGUGAACACUUCUUAGCAUGUGGACACUUCUUAGCAUGUGAACACUUCUUAGCAUGUGGACACUUCUUAGCAUGUGAACACUUCUUAGCAUGUGGACACUUCUUAGCAUGUGAACACUUCUUAGCAUGUGGACACUUCUUAGCAUGUGAACACUUCUUAGCAUGUGAACACUUCUUAGCAUGUGGACACUUCUUAGCAUGUGAACACUUCUUAGCAUGUGGACACUUCUUAGCAUGUGGACACUUCUUAGCAUGUGGACACUUCUUAGCAUGUGAACACUUCUUAGCAUGUGGACACUUCUUAGCAUGUGGACACUUCUUAGCAUGUGGACACUUCUUAGCAUAUGGACACUUCUUAGCAUGUGACACUUCUUAGCAUGUGGACACGUCUUAGCAUGUGGACACUUCUUAGCAUGUGGACACACUGCUUAGCAACCACAAACUAUUGGUUGUGUUCUUAAAGUAGGGCAUGACAGUGAGAAACAAAAGGAAGCACUUCAAAUCCUGCUGGUUCUGUUACAGAGACACGGGAAACAACCCUUACAGUAAGCAAGUCCACUCAAACUCCUGGGAGUACAUGUUGCACUUUUGAGAAAAGAUGUCACAACUGUGGCCUGGCAUGUCAGUGAGAAGCACCUUUCUCGAGGCAGGGAAGGCAGUGUUCCCCUUUGCCAGUUUCUGACUUAAUAAACAGCACAGGGGAAACUUCCUGAAGGGAACACCAAUAGCUUAUGCUCUAAGAACAACAAUCGACAAAUGGGACUCAGAAAACUGCAAAGCAGCUGUAAGGCAAAGGGCACUGUCAAUAGGACAAAAUGGCAACUAACAGAUCGGGAAAAGAUCUUUACCAAUCCUACAUCCGAUAGAGGGCUAAUAUCCAAUAUAUACAAAGAACUCAAGAAGUUAGACUCCAGAGAAUCAAAUAACCCUAUUAAAAGAAAUGGGACACAGAGCUAAACAAAGAAUUCUCAACCGAGGAAAGUCUAAUGGCCAAGAAGCACCUAAAGAAAUGUUCAACAUCCUUUGAUGUUUUGGUAAAUCUCCAACCCAAAUAUGCCCCAGCAAUGAAAACACAACUCAAUUAAU
RNAcentral lists this long non-coding RNA (1726 nucleotides) under Mus musculus (house mouse). RNAcentral describes it as "predicted gene, 16892". Lineage: Eukaryota; Metazoa; Chordata; Mammalia; Rodentia; Muridae. The record is from RNAcentral.